This 1239-nucleotide long non-coding RNA is filed under the name Brassica napus (rape). RNAcentral describes it as "long non-coding RNA (BNAP_LNC006971)". Lineage: Eukaryota; Viridiplantae; Streptophyta; Magnoliopsida; Brassicales; Brassicaceae. The record is from RNAcentral.
AAGACACCACCGACGGUACGAGGAAGAGCCGAAGACCGACGAUGCCGUCGUUCAGUAGUUUGCGCCAGAGAUUACCGCCUCCAUUGCAUUCCACCGGGACCGUAUACACCCAUUUAACCACAACCCGAAGAGAAUGUGGAUCGGUAGACGGACAACUCCUCCGGAGAAGACCAAACCAAAGCCACGCUCGUAGCCUGCUCACCAACUAUCACACCACAAAACACAGCCUAACCGGAAAUCGCUGUCAAGCCACGAAGACUAACCUGCUGAGUUUAUUUGAGAAGAGCUGGAGACGGAGCAGGCCACCAACGUCGUUACCACACAGAUCUGAGCGGGCAAGGAAACUCACAUGAGCCAAAGCUAACCUAAGCACACCAUGGGAACCCAACUCUACGCGAUGCCACAGGGAAGUCGAAAAACAGACGGACGUCUCCGUGCCACCAACAGAACCCACGCGCACCCACCGACGGAGAACUCGACGGAGGCAUCUCAAACAGGUAGAGAGAACCCGAGUUACCAAGAUCUGGCGCCACAAACCCACUCGGGUUACCAAGAUCCGGCGAACCCAAGAACCCCAACUCCACACGCAGCUUCAUCCACCACCAGAUGCCACACCGGAAGUGAAACGAGACCAACGAGGAGCUUAACGACGCUGCACGCGCCACCAACUCAGUGAAGCUUUCUGGAUCUCGGGAAAACACUAGCAAGCUCCGAUUAAGACUAGGGUAAAGCACGACAGUGGAAGAGGCCGUCCUCUAGCAACCUCCACAGCCGAAAACCCAAAAUCUGUGGCCGGAGCGACCAGAUCUGAGACACAGAUGAGCAUCACUCUCGCCGCAGAACAACGAAGGAGACAGAGGAGAGACAGAGAUGGACGUAGACGGGAGGGAGUUAAGGUCCGGCGGCCGCGCGGCAGAGGUGGCGGCCGCCGGAGAAGGCUUAAGGUGGAGGUGUUAACUUGGUGAAGAGAGAGGUUAGAGAUAACGUGUUUCAAGAGAGGUUAGAGAUAACGUGUUUCAAAUUAUAUACACUUUGUAAAUAUAUGUUUCAAUAAGAGACUAUGAAUCAGUGAGAUGUUAUGUGUGUUUUGCGUUGGAAGUAUAUAUAUAAAAGUCUAUUAUUAUACACAAAAGAAGAUAUGUAUGCUGUUUGUUAUACGUACAUAUUUACAUACCAUAUAACUUUCUAUCAUACUUUCCGUUUAUUGAAGGAGAAUUAUAACUUUCUAGUGAAAGUUUU